RNAcentral lists this RNase P RNA (309 nucleotides) under Flavobacteriales bacterium. RNAcentral's name for it is "partial RNase P RNA component class A". It matches the Rfam family "Bacterial RNase P class A", at positions 40 to 367 of the family's 367-position model. Rfam says of the family: Ribonuclease P (RNase P) is a ubiquitous endoribonuclease, found in archaea, bacteria and eukarya as well as chloroplasts and mitochondria. Lineage: Bacteria; Pseudomonadati; Bacteroidota; Flavobacteriia; Flavobacteriales. The record is from RNAcentral.
AUGGAGGAAAGUCCGGACACUAUAAGGUAGCGUAGCGGCUAACGGCCGUCACCCGCUCAGGCGGGAUAGGACAAGUGCAACAGAAAGUAUGUACAGGUAAUGCUGUAGUGAAAUCAGGUAAACUCUACGCAGUGAAAUGCCACGUAUAUUGAAACGCCGUCUAUGACGGAUAAGGUUGACCUGACCGAUUUCAAGGGGUAGGCAGAUUGAUACAGAUGGUAACAUCUGUACCAGAUAAAUGAUAAGAAUCUAUGGUGUCGUUGACACCGCGAAUAGAUACAGAAUCCGGCUUAUAGAUUUGCUAUUCCU